GACGAACGCUGGCGGCGUGCCUAAUACAUGCAAGUAGAACGCUUAAGAGAGGAGCUUGCUCUUCUUGGAUGAGUUGCGAACGGGUGAGUAACGCGUAGUUAACCGGCCUUGUAGCGGGGGAUAACUAUUGGAAACGAUAGCUAAUACCGCAUAACAAUGGAUGACCCAUGUCAUUUAUUUGAAAGGGGCAAAUGCUCCACUACAAGAUGGACCUGCGUUGUAUUAGCUAGUAGGUGAGGUAACGGCUCACCUAGGCGACGAUACAUAGCCGACCUGAGAGGGUGAUCGGCCACACUGGGACUGGGACACGGCCCAGACUCCUACGGGAGGCAGCAGUAGGGAAUCUUCGGCAAUGGGGGCAACCCUGACCGAGCAACGCCGCGUGAGUGAAGAAGGUUUUCGGAUCGUAAAGCUCUGUUGUAAGUCAAGAACGAGUGUGAGAGUGGAAAGUUCACACUGUGACGGUAGCUGACCAGAAAGGGACGGCUAACUACGUG
RNAcentral lists this ribosomal RNA (497 nucleotides) under uncultured bacterium. RNAcentral describes it as "partial 16S ribosomal RNA". It matches the Rfam family "Bacterial small subunit ribosomal RNA", at positions 28 to 507 of the family's 1533-position model. The record is from RNAcentral.